This 417-nucleotide ribosomal RNA is filed under the name uncultured bacterium. RNAcentral's name for it is "bacterial SSU rRNA". It matches the Rfam family "Bacterial small subunit ribosomal RNA", at positions 82 to 518 of the family's 1533-position model. The record is from RNAcentral.
CGGUCAGUGGAAAGUGGCGGACGGGUGAGUAACACGUAGGAAAUCUGCCCUUUCGAGGGGGACGAACAGUUGGAAACGACUGCUAAUACCCCAUAUGAGCUAAGCUGAAAUGCUUAUCUUGAAAACUCCGGUGCCAAAGGAUGAGCCUGCGCCUGAUUAGCUAGUUGGUGGUGUAAUGGACUACCAAGGCGACGAUCAGUAGCUGGUUUGAGAGGAUGAUCAGCCACAAUGGGACUGAGACACGGCCCAUACUCCUACGGGAGGCAGCAGUAGGGAAUUUUGCGCAAUGGGGGAAACCCUGACGCAGCAACGCCGCGUGAUUGAUGAAGCCCUUCGGGGUGUAAAGAUCUGUCAGUAGGGACGAAUUUUGACGGUACCUACAGAGGAAGCACCGGCUAACUCCGUGCCAGCCGCCGC